AUUGAACGCUGGCGGCAGGCUUAACACAUGCAAGUCGAGCGGAGAGAGGUAGCUUGCUACUGAUCUUAGCGGCGGACGGGUGAGUAAUGCUUAGGAAUCUGCCUAUUAGUGGGGGACAACAUUUCGAAAGGAAUGCUAAUACCGCAUACGUCCUACGGGAGAAAGCAGGGGAUCUUCGGACCUUGCGCUAAUAGAUGAGCCUAAGUCGGAUUAGCUAGUUGGUGGGGUAAAGGCCUACCAAGGCGACGAUCUGUAGCGGGUCUGAGAGGAUGAUCCGCCACACUGGGACUGAGACACGGCCCAGACUCCUACGGGAGGCAGCAGUGGGGAAUAUUGGACAAUGGGCGGAAGCCUGAUCCAGCCAUGCCGCGUGUGUGAAGAAGGCCUUAUGGUUGUAAAGCACUUUAAGCGAGGAGGAGGCUACUUUAGUUAAUACCUAGAGAUAGUGGACGUUACUCGCAGAAUAAGCACCGGCUAACUCUGUGCCAGCAGCCGCGUAA
RNAcentral lists this ribosomal RNA (500 nucleotides) under uncultured bacterium. RNAcentral's name for it is "partial 16S ribosomal RNA". It matches the Rfam family "Bacterial small subunit ribosomal RNA", at positions 30 to 522 of the family's 1533-position model. The record is from RNAcentral.